Molecule: long non-coding RNA, 275 nt
Organism: Erpetoichthys calabaricus (reedfish)
Lineage: Eukaryota; Metazoa; Chordata; Cladistia; Polypteriformes; Polypteridae
Exons: 3
Source: RefSeq, a predicted model, not a curated record
CUCAUUAGACUGAUUCUUGAGUAGUAAUUUGUUCACAAACCAAAUGGAAGAGAAUUAUUAGACUGGUUCUCGGACAGUGACUCGUUCACAAAUCGAAUAAAUGAGAAUUAUUAGACUGAUUCUCGAGUAGGUAUUUGUUAACAAACCAAAUGAAUGAGAAUCAUUAGGCUGGUUCUUGGGUAGCGAUUUGUUCACAAGUCAAUUGAAUGAGAUUCGCUAGACUGAUUAUCGUGGAGUUACUUGUUUACGAAUCAAAUGAACGAGAAUCAUUAAAC